This 2153-nucleotide ribosomal RNA is filed under the name Escherichia coli B26-1. Its description in RNAcentral is "partial 16S ribosomal RNA". The record is from RNAcentral. Lineage: Bacteria; Pseudomonadati; Pseudomonadota; Gammaproteobacteria; Enterobacterales; Enterobacteriaceae.
UGUGUAUUACGCAGGCUUAUAUCAUUUGUUGUGUCCACGCCCCCAUCAAGAAUAAGACGACGGUUCUCUUUUUUCGUCUCAUGAUGCUGAAGUACGUCCAGAUUCCCGUUUAUGUUACCGUGAUAGAUAUAGUCAGCAGUAUUAUUCAGGGAUAAAAUGGAUUUUUUGGUUGACGUAUUGGUUAUUACAGCACCUGAAUCAGUUGCAGCAAUUUUAUUGAAAGACUGAUUAUAUCCGUUCAGGUCAAGAGUUCCGCCAUUUUUCGCAAAGAAAAUACCGUUGUAUUCACCGCCAGACAGUGCAUUUUCUGCAUUCAGUCGGACAGUUCCAUCACCACUGGUUAUGUAGAUAUUAUUGAAUGUUUUUUCAGCUCCAAGAAUGACAAGACCCUCACCUGUUUUCAGGUUGGUGUUCUGGGUUUUUCGGACAUCUAAUGUGCCAUCACCAAUUUUGUGAAGGUUGUCUUUAUUAUCAUACCGGAUAUUCCACUCAACGGUGCUGCCGUUUCUUGUAUCAACACCGGCACCUUUAAAGGUGAAAUCAUCCCCGUUUACUCGAUAGGUCUUUUUAUCAUUAAAGACAAGACCGCCAGCACCAUUAUCAAAAGAGGAUUUCAGGAGGAUAUCUCCACCGCCAGUAAAUAUUAAGUCCUUAUUUUUUAUAUCGGUGGUGUCUGAGCCAGUGCCUGUCAGUUUUCCAUUUUCAAUGGUUGCAACCUGAGCCCCUGACAUAUCCACGUUGUAAGAAUACUUGUUCUUCAGGUUGUCAAUGGUUGUCUGGUUCCAUUUACUGUAUGCUGCGUGGUUUUUGCCAUUGGCGUAAUUAUAAAUCCCCCAGACAGUUCCAGCGACAACCCACUUUUUCUUUUGGUUAUCAUAGACGAACAGUGCUGAACCGCUGUCACCCUGAGAGGCAAUGUUAUUAAACUCAUCAAACUGGUUGUUGGUUAAUAUCAGCCAUCCACUCCAGUCAUCAAUGUGAACGAAAGAGCCAUUUAACAUUUCUGGCUUAUAAGAAACCUCAUUAAAUGGAGUUAUGCGUCCAUUUUUUUUAACGGAUACCACACCAGAGCCGGCUCUGAAUGCGAUAAGUUUCUUUUCUCCUUUAUAAUUAACCCCGUAACGUUCAAGUGCCUGCUGUUUUGAUAACGAAAUAUCUGCGCCUUCAGUCGCACCUCGGGUCUCAACAACAAACUUGUCAAGUCGGGAUACUGCAAAAUCAGGAUGUGAAGUAUUCCAGUCAGUUUGUUUGUACGUGCUGUUCCCCCAGUUUUGCGUCGCAACUGAGUGGUGGUUUUUCGUAUUGUGUGUGGCUGUGAUACUGUAUGCACCACCAAUAGAUGUGGUUGACCCUUUGUUUGCAACCGGUGAGAAGUCAGGAAAUGGUACUUCCGGUAGUUUCAGGGUGGAGCCAUCUUUCUUCACUAUUUCAAUAUUUGUUGCGCCAGCCUGAAAUAUGCCCUUGUUCUGUGCAAAAUCCAUAUAGUCACGGAUGUAGAAAUUUGAAAUAUCCAUCUGUGACGCAAAAGAAUAUGAGGAUUGUAAUAAGCCUAAAAAACAUAAUGCAAGUAUGCGUUUGUGUUUUUUCUUACCAGUUGCUCUUGAUGAUACUCUGCCGGAUAAUUCAGAAACAGCGAUUAACCCUCCUGUAAUAUGGCUGUAUUUAAGAGAGUAUAUUUUAUUCAUAUAAGCUCCAUUUUUAAGGGAAACAUUGGUUUUUCUAAUGUAUCAGAGGUGUGUCUCUGACAGUCGUGAACAUUGUAAUCAUCGUCCAGAUAAAUGUUUACUCCUUUAUGUGUUUGUUAUCAUACGGAUAACAAACACUGAACCGCCCCGGUUUUCCUGGAGAGUGUUUUAUCUGUGAACUCAGGCUGCCAGAUCAUCGUUUCUGAUGGAAGCAUAAUAAGCUUUUUCUGCUUCUGCCGGAGGGGUAUGACCCAGCCUUCCCAGCAAUCGUCGAUUGUUAUACCAGUCCACCCACGUGAGUGUGGCCAGUUCCACUUCUGCACGGUUUUUCCAGCUCUUACGGUGUAUUACCUCCGCUUUGUAAAGACCAUUGAUGCUCUCCGCCAUCGCGUUGUCAUACGAGUCACCUGUACUCCCUGUUGAUGCCAGCAGUUUUGCUUCUUUUAGUCGCUCCGUAUAGGCCAGUGA